This 470-nucleotide ribosomal RNA is filed under the name uncultured bacterium. Its description in RNAcentral is "partial 16S ribosomal RNA". It matches the Rfam family "Bacterial small subunit ribosomal RNA", at positions 28 to 523 of the family's 1533-position model. The record is from RNAcentral.
GAUAAACGCUGGCGACGUGCCUUAUGCAUGCAAGUCGAACGGUCCUUCUUCGGAAGGGUAGUGGCGAACGGGUGAGUAACGCGUAAGUGACCUGCCGAGAAGUGGGGAAUAACUGGUCGAAAGAUCAGCUAAUACCGCAUGAGCUCCCUGGUGUAAAGGCUGGGGAGGAAAGCCGAAAGGCGCUUUUCGAGGGGCUUGCGUCCGAUUAGCUAGUUGGUGGGGUAAAGGCUCACCAAGGCGGUGAUCGGUAGCUGGUCUGAGAGGAUGAUCAGCCACACUGGGACUGCGACACGGCCCAGACUCCUACGGGAGGCAGCAGCAAGGAAUUUUGGGCAAUGGGGGAAACCCUGACCCAGCAACGCCGCGUGGACGAUGAAGGCUUUCGGGUCGUAAAGUCCUUUUGUGGGGGACGAUAAUGACGGUACCCCACGAACAAGCCCCGGCUAACUACGUGCCAGCAGCCGCGGUAA